This 1010-nucleotide long non-coding RNA is filed under the name Coturnix japonica (Japanese quail). Its description in RNAcentral is "lncRNA (ENSCJPG00005013214.1)". The record is from RNAcentral. Lineage: Eukaryota; Metazoa; Chordata; Aves; Galliformes; Phasianidae.
AAAUGAUAUUUGCCUUUUAGGAAAUGCAUAAUAAAACCUGAUCUGUUUCUCUGCAGGAUGUCUCUGCAGCUGGGUCUGCAUUCUGUGGUGAGCUAGUAAGCUGCUAGUAGGAUGCUCGCAAGUAGUGCCUGUGCUGCUGUCUCCAUUCACACAAAAUCUUAGCUGACUGCCACAUUAAUUACUAAGAAGUCAGACUGAGCCUCUUAAAAGAGCUAUCUAUCUUCUGAUGGAACAGCUGGGUUUUCCUCUGUCUCUCCUGUUCCUGUCUGUACUUCCAGCAGUGUGACUUCAAGGCAGGGAAGACAAGAGAACGCAAUCCAUAGGAGGUACCUGCUUCUCAUCACUGUCAGGAAGAACGCUCAAGGCUGCUCAGAAACAAUCAGCUCCUACAAGCUAAUGAGAACCUUAGCAGUACUUUAUUGUAGAAACCCUAUAGAAGUCUGUGUCACAGGGCAAUGACAUACACACUAAAAGACAGGUUGGUGACAGCUGGUUCCAGUACACGAGACCCUCUCAUAGCUCUAACCCGUGAUUCAUCCAAUAGAAAAAUAUCUGGAUAACCUUUCUGUAGUAAGAAGCUUUAAUUCAUAAUUCAGACAUAUUGAAAUAUUAAGUAAUUAUCUUCCAAUUAUUAAUUGCUAUAAAAAGGCAUGUCUGACAUUUAUUUAUUUAUUUAUUUAUUUCACUGCAGAAAAGAACCCCAACAAAUUCUAUGCAUAUUUCAAUGACGGUGAAACCCUUCAGUUUGUCCUUGGUAAUCUAUGUCCAUAUCUCUGCUUCAGUGCAAUGAGCACAUCCCACUAAGACUGCACAUGAAUCAGCAAGGGGCUCCUUAAUUUGAUAAGAAGUUUCAGAGCUUGGAGGGGGAGGAAAUUCAUGAACUGGAGAGACCAUAGGAAAAGGCUCGGCUACAAACCAGGGUCCUACAUCUUCAGAUCUGAGACCUGAUUUGUUUGUGAAAGAGCUGCAGCCUGCAUUACAUUGAUAGAGAUUUCUGUUCGCUGCUUAGC